AGUAGGGAAUCUUCCGCAAUGGACGAAAGUCUGACGGAGCAACGCCGCGUGAGUGAUGAAGGUUUUCGGAUCGUAAAGCUCUGUUGUUAGGGAAGAACAAGUACCGUUCGAAUAGGGCGGUACCUUGACGGUACCUAACCAGAAAGCCACGGCUAACUACGUGCCAGCAGCCGCGGUAAUACGUAGGUGGCAAGCGUUGUCCGGAAUUAUUGGGCGUAAAGGGCUCGCAGGCGGUUUCUUAAGUCUGAUGUGAAAGCCCCCGGCUCAACCGGGGAGGGUCAUUGGAAACUGGGGAACUUGAGUGCAGAAGAGGAGAGUGGAAUUCCACGUGUAGCGGUGAAAUGCGUAGAGAUGUGGAGGAACACCAGUGGCGAAGGCGACUCUCUGGUCUGUAACUGACGCUGAGGAGCGAAAGCGUGGGGAGCGAACAGGAUUAGAUACCCUGGUAGUCCACGCCGUAAACGAUGAGUGCUAAGUGUUAGGGGGUUUCCGCCCCUUAGUGCUGCAGCUAACGCAUUAAGCACUCCGCCUGGGGAGUACGGUCGCAAGACUGAAAC
This 557-nucleotide ribosomal RNA is filed under the name Bacillus sp. (in: firmicutes). RNAcentral's name for it is "bacterial SSU rRNA". It matches the Rfam family "Bacterial small subunit ribosomal RNA", at positions 353 to 900 of the family's 1533-position model. Lineage: Bacteria; Bacillati; Bacillota; Bacilli; Caryophanales; Bacillaceae. The record is from RNAcentral.